This 87-nucleotide non-coding RNA is filed under the name uncultured Thiohalocapsa sp. The record is from RNAcentral. Lineage: Bacteria; Pseudomonadati; Pseudomonadota; Gammaproteobacteria; Chromatiales; Chromatiaceae.
CGUGCGGCAACGCUCGGCGUGACGGGACAGAAGUCAGCAGAGGCCGUAGUAGCCGGGCGAGUAUGGAGCGCGUGCCCGACGAAGGGC